This 253-nucleotide ribosomal RNA is filed under the name uncultured bacterium. RNAcentral describes it as "partial 16S ribosomal RNA". It matches the Rfam family "Bacterial small subunit ribosomal RNA", at positions 524 to 776 of the family's 1533-position model. The record is from RNAcentral.
UACGGGGGAGCAAGCGUUGUUCGGAUUUACUGGGCGUAAAGGGCGCGUAGGCGGUCGUGACAAGUCACUUGUGAAAUCUCCGGGCUUAACUCGGAACGGUCAAGUGAUACUGUCGGACUAGAGUACAGAAGGGGCAACUGGAAUUCUCGGUGUAGCGGUGAAAUGCGUAGAUAUCGAGAGGAACACCUGCGGCGAAGGCGGGUUGCUGGGCCGACACUGACGCUGAUGCGCGAAAGCCAGGGGAGCGAACGGG